UCGUCGGGCACAUUUUCUUCCUGAUUUUGACUCGCCCUACCGCAGCCAACAAGAAUUUUCCAUUUCACGUCCGGACGUCGCAGAUUAGCGUUAUGGAGCAGAUGCCUAACGGAACGGCUGGGAACAACAACCUGGACCAUUUUUCUGCACACGCGUACGCGCCCAGCGCCCCGCUGGCGGUGCUCGGCAGCCAGCAGAGCACACCCACCGAACUGUUCGUCAUCAGCACGUCCACUGAGAGGCCCACGGCAAGCAAUGGAAAGCCAUACGUGAAGCAGGAUGCCAGUUUUCCCCACCAGCUAAACGCCAACGUACGUGAUGACUGACCCGAGACGGUUGGCACUUCAUCCGAGACACAAUACUUCCGCCAAGUUAAAUAGUGAAUUAUUCCAUGCAUGGCUGCGUAUAUGGUACGCAAGGGCAUCUUCAGAAGUAUAUGAACAGUAAAGUACG
Molecule: long non-coding RNA, 453 nt
Filed under: Pollicipes pollicipes
Lineage: Eukaryota; Metazoa; Arthropoda; Thecostraca; Pollicipedomorpha; Pollicipedidae
Description: uncharacterized LOC119113203
Source: RNAcentral